RNAcentral lists this ribosomal RNA (775 nucleotides) under uncultured Neocallimastigales. Its description in RNAcentral is "partial large subunit ribosomal RNA". It matches the Rfam family "Eukaryotic large subunit ribosomal RNA", at positions 26 to 629 of the family's 3401-position model. The record is from RNAcentral. Lineage: Eukaryota; Fungi; Neocallimastigomycota; Neocallimastigomycetes; Neocallimastigales.
CGCAUCUGUGCAUGCAGCAUAUCAAUAAGCGGAGGAAAAGAAACUAACAAGGAUUCCCCUAGUAACGGCGAGUGAAGCGGGAAGAGCUCAAAUUUGGAAUCUUCAAGGUUUUACCUUGACGAAUUGUAGUUUAAAGAAGUGUUUUCUGUUGAAGUUUUGGUAAAAGUUCUUUGGAAUAGGACAUCAUAGAGGGUGAGAAUCCCGUAUUUGACCAUUAUUUUCAGCUGUGUGAUACACUUUCAAAGAGUCGGAUUGUUUGGGAAUGCAGUCCAAAAUGGGUGGUAAAUUUCAUCUAAAGCUAAACUAUUGGCGAGAGACCGAUAGCGAACAGGCACCGUGAGGGAAAGAUGAAAAGAACUUUGAAAAGAGAGUUAAACAGUACGUGAAAUUGUCAAAAGGGAAGCGUUUGACACCAGUGUUGUUUUCUCGAAAAUCAAUUAAAAAGAGUUUGAUUUUGUUGUGUAUUGACCUUAACAGCUUGCAUUUCAAUUUUCUUGCUUUUUUUAAUGCACUUUUCGUUUAACAAGUCAACAUCAGUUUCUUUUGCUGUAGAAAGGUCAUUGGAAGGUGGCUUUCUUUUCGGAGAAAGUGUUUAUAGCCUUUGACUCCUGCAAUCGGAGAGACUGAGGUCUGCAGCGUAGAUCCUUCGGGGUUAGAUACAUUUGUGCUAAGUUAUAGCUUUUUAUAGACAACUUGUUGACUAUGAUUAGUCUUGUAGCUUACUCGCUUAUGCUAUUUUACCUACGCUUAGGAUGUUGAUGUGAUACUGCGAGCA